RNAcentral lists this ribosomal RNA (319 nucleotides) under uncultured eukaryote. RNAcentral describes it as "partial 18S ribosomal RNA". It matches the Rfam family "Eukaryotic small subunit ribosomal RNA", at positions 1470 to 1796 of the family's 1831-position model. The record is from RNAcentral.
CCCUUAGAUGUUCUGGGCAGCACGCGCGCUACAAUGGUCUUCGCAAACGGAUGCAUUCUCGAAGGAGAAUGCCAAUCUUGGAAUCUAUGCCUUGGUCGGGACAGUUGCUUGCAAUUUUUCGACUCGAACCAGGAAUUCCUUGUAAUCGUGAUUCAUCACAUCACGAUGAAUACGUCCCUGCCCUUUGUACACACCGCCCGUCGCUCCUACCGAUCGUAGAGUUAGGUGAAUUGUUUUGAUCGAUAAGAUUUGACUAUGGUCAACUCUCGUUGUGAAAUUCUGUGAAUCUGACUGUUUAGAGGAAGGAAAAGUCGUAACA